Molecule: non-coding RNA, 13102 nt
Organism: Paramuricea clavata
Lineage: Eukaryota; Metazoa; Cnidaria; Anthozoa; Malacalcyonacea; Plexauridae
Source: the annotation of a GenBank genome assembly
AGUUAUCCCGGCAUGUCGAAAGCUAUUUUCAUCUAUAUAUAAAAAUGUUUGUAAACCUGAAUCAAAGAAAAUCAUAGACCAAUUUCAUAUCUCCGUCUGUACAGGUCGGAACCACUGAAAAUACAGUUUUCCGUAGUUUCUUCAGAGAUCAAUAUACAGGGUGUAUAAAAAAAAACUGAACAGAUUUGAAAUUGGUCUCAAUUUCGUAAAACACCUAUUUGUAUCCGGUUUUUUAUAUAUGUAGCUUCUUUGGGUACUUAUAAUGUAGAAUAAUGAAAAAAAUUUCUUGAACUUAAAUUUUGUGAACCAGGGGGGGUGUCUUUUCCAACAAACUAAAAAUGGCUCGCGCACAAAAUUUAAAAGUUGUAAUCAUAUUUUGAAUUAAUAGAUGGAAAAUUUGUCGGGUUGUUAAUUACUGUACAAAAUUUCAGGCAAUUUGGUUUAGUUUAGUUUCUAUUCACGCAAAGUUACAUUUUUCCUAAAAAUCAGCUAUUUGCAUGCUUAAUUAAUGCCUUUGCCUAAUUUGCAUAUGUUAGCAAAUAUGCAAAUUAGGUAAACGCAUUAAUUAAGCAUGCGAAAGGCUGAUUUUUUAGAAAAAAAUGAAUAGUUAAAGGGUUUAAACUCAACCAAAUUGUCUGAAAUUUUGUACAGUAAUUCAAAACCCGACAAAGUUUCCAUCUAUUAACUCAAAAUAUGAUUACAACUUUUAAAUUUUGUGCGCGAGCCAUUUUUAGUUUGUUGGAAAAGACACACCUCCCUGGUUCACAAAAUUUGAGUUUGAGAAAUUUUUUUCAUUAAUCUACAUUAUAAGUACCCAAAGAAGCUAUAUAUAUAAAAAACCGGAUGCAAAUAGGUGUUUUGCGAAAUUGAGAACAAUUUCAAAUCUGUUCAGUUUUUUUUGAUACACCCUGUAUAUACGUUUCUUUUCAUGGGAAAAAAGGUAAUUUAGCAAAGUUUUCAAUCUGUAUACUUCAUCAAAUAUAUUCUAUGUCAUAGAUUAUUUUGACAUUUUGACACAUUACAGAUUUCAAGAAACUGCUAGGCUAAGUUUUUCAAAUAUUUCAAAUAUUUGAAAAUAAUAAUAGUUUUUAAAUAUUUCAAAGUGCCGAAAAGUUUUUUCGUUUUGAAGAGAAGAAUUUUUCAAACAUGAAGAGAUCAUGUUUGAAAACUUCUCAUCGUCGAUUUUAAAGCAAAGAAAGUCUCGGUUAAACGAUGAUGAGAGUUGCGACUUUCGCUCGCGUUUGACCGCCAACUCUUCAUCGACUUUCAUCAACUUUGAACUGGUUCAAAUUUUGAUGAAGUUUUUGCUAGGCGCGUGGUAAUAUCCAUGCAACUCUUGUUCUCGUUUGACCAAGGCAUGAGAGUUGAAGAAACUCUAGUGCAAACUCUUGCUUCUCAACUCUCAUCAACUCUCAUGCAACUCUUGUUCUCGUUGGACCGGGACAUGAGAGUUGAGAAAACUCUCAUGCAAACUGUCGCUUGCCAACUCUCAUGCACUCUCAUCCUCAUUUGAUCCGGGCUUAAAACUUUUUAUUUGCUAAAUUGUAUUCAUGCAUUCGGAGAAAAUUUAAGAAAUAAUAUACGACUAGUAAAUAUACGCACCAACAACUUUUUGCUGAGAAAAUGAGAACUUGCUUGAGAACCUGGAACCUAAAUAGUAACCUUAUUUACCGUACUGCAGACAAUGAUCGGGAUUACAGUUUGAAAGCUUUGCUGAAUAAAUAAUCGUAUUUUCAACAAAAAUAAAAGUACUUACAUUAUUUUCCAUUAAAUUAUCUAUCUGUUCCGUAAGUUCUCACAAAUCUGAUCUAUCAGACAAGUGCAUAGUUUCUUCCUUGCUUUUUCAUGUGUCGACAACAGAUGACUUGAACAUAUUCCAGUCAGGUUUUCACAAUUUGCUUGAUUUCAGUUUAAACGAUUUCUUGACAAGAAAAACAGGCGAAAGCAGCAACCAGGCAACUGUUCCAAUCAAUAUCUUCACAAUUUUGUUGUCAUAAUUACCACUGUCAUUUAACCAUCAACACACCAAUUAUAAUCACCAUCGUAACAAUGAUUUGUACCAUCACAACCUCUUCAUUACCUGCAUUUAUUUUAAGUGACAAAACGGUAACUAUCAGCAUUUUUACACCAUCGUCACUAUCAGCACCUUUAUCAUGCGACCAUCACCAACAUCAGCACUGUUAUAAUCAUUACCACCAUCAACAACACUGCAACAAUAACCACUAUCACCAUUUUCACCACCAUCACAACAUUGCCGUAAUAACCAUCACUAUCACACUGCAAUAAUAAUCACCAUCUCUCAACAUUGCAAUCUCAGACAUCAUCACGGCCACAAUCGCAAUUUUGACCACCAUCAUAAUGACCACCACCAACACCAUCAGUAAUAUUACUGUACUAUCAUUUCUAAAUCACCAUCUAUGAUUAUUAGUUCAUUACCAUCACCAACACCAUCAUACACCUAAAUAUUCUUCCAUCAGCUUUUCACGAUCAACACCUCAUGCAAGGUAACAGCUUUGUUUUCUACUUGAUAUUUGAUGCAUAAUUAGAACCUGUAACCCCAGGCAGGGAGGCAAGGGAGUACUAUCACUUGUCCAAGGUGAACUCCCAGACAAGCGGAGGGAAGGAGGUGUCUUACUUCUCCAUUCUAGACUGGCUCCAAGCAAAGUCUAACCACUGCCCCCAAAACAUCCUUAUUUACAUACCCUUGUUAAAAAAACCUUUUCAUCAUCGUUCUGUGCGUAAUAUACUAUAGGCCUACUGUAUAUAAACCGGCGUUAUCUAAGUACUUGUUGGACCAGGAACUGGUCCCCAAUCGCUGCUAAUCUUGUUGUUGUUGUUGUUGUUGUUGUUGUUGUUGUUGUUGUUGUUGUUGUUGUUGUUGUUGUUGUUGUUGUUAGGGGGCGACGCUCUUUGAACAAACCCUAAGGCUCCGUCAUUACUUGUCCGAUCGGAAUGAAACUUGACAUAAUUAUUCUAAGCAAUAUUCCGCAUCGAUUGACGGUGUUCGAUUUUUCAUUUUUGACUUUAGAAGCGAAAUACAAGCAAUUUGUGACUGUAUUCUGGGUCACGCAGUUCCUGGUCCAUUAUAGUACGAUCGUACUUUUUAUGCAUGAAUCGAGCCGAAGGCGAGGAAGUCAUACAUAUUUCCCAGAGCAAUGCCGACUUAUAGUAAGCAGCUGCCUUACGUUUCAUACUAGACAGCAAAGGGUCUUGUGGAAUGCACAGUCGAAGAAACUCCAUAUCGCCACUUAUCUUAGGAAAAGCCAUCAUGGUUUCUUUUGGGGGAAAUUUUACUUGUUUUAGCGCAUCACUUGUUAAAUAUCGUUGAAAGGAAGACUCGAGAAGCGCACCAGAGUCCAUGUCAAAAAAUUCUAAAAAGCGAUAGUGAGCAACAAUGAGAACUUUGUCCUUGUUGAGACAAAAUAGCUUUGUACCAACCAUACCAAACCUUUGCUCGAAAUCAAUCUUUACACUUUUGUGAUCACGGGUAACCAGGUCAAAUAUGUUACCGUCGUUUCCGUCAUGGGAAGUGCUCACAACAACAGCGACCUUAGAAUCGUUACUGAGGCAACACAAAUGUCUUGUUCCACAUACUUUAGUGAAAAAAACUUCAUACACAUCUAGCUCCUCCUUGGUAUUUCUUUUCCAAAUAUAAUACAUAUACUCAUCAUUGCCAAAGACAAAGGAAGCACCAGGCGAAACUGUAAUACUCAUUUCAGGUUCAAUUCCAGGUAAGGUGAUCAUUCGUGGUCCCCCAACUCCGCUGACAUCGAGAACUUUAACAGGCUCCGACUCUCCACACUCGAAGCUGAGUAAACCCUCUGAAAAAUCAAUAAUUACUGAUAAGGAUACGAACUCUUCCAAUAAAUGAGACAGCGAUACUUGCUGGCUCUGAGGGAACACGAUCUUUAAAUUGACAUCUACCGGGUAUUUUGAUAAGCUGGGAAUCCUGUCAAAAAAAUCAAACACGAACAAAAUUUUUCCGACCACCAACAAACAAAUGAUGAAUCGCCUUGAUCUCUUUUGAAACGCUGCUCAACUUGGUUCGUAUGGACAUUCCAUAUGUUGAUAUAUCCAUCUGAGGUACAAGUUGCAAGUCGGGAGCCAUCAGGAGAAAACGAACUUGAAAGAACCCGUGUUGGACGUGGCAGGCGAGAAGAUUGUUGGUGUGUUGGAGGUAAUGUCCUAAAGACAUAUAAUUUUUCCGCAUCUGCAUAGAACCACAGAUCAUCUUCAACGGUUGUUAGUUUGUAGCAGUCUAUAUACACCUCUUCGCGAGAAAUAUGAGCAGAAAGGUUCCAAGCAGCAAGCGUAGUGAAAUGAGUGCUUUCUAUGACACUUAAAGUAUGAUCUUUUAAAGAAAAACUACACUCUACACCAUUGUAGAUCCCCGUGGACCAGGAUUCCCAUUCGUCUCCCCAAAACGUGAACGGCAUGCAAACUUCGAUUUCUAAUCUUUUAGAAGAGUUUAAUUCUUUAAAUCCUGGUAGAAAACAACGUUUACAUUUCUUAUCCUGGAAUACUCCUGGUUCCUUUAGCUUUACAUCACGUAUGUUUCGCUCAUCACAUCUUUGCCAGGUAAUGGCAUUCCAAACGCAAAACGAAUCUUCUGCUUCUUGAAUUGUAGAAUCGUCUGAUUCUGAAUCUGCACUCAUAGAAUCAUCUGAUUCUGAAUUUACGAAACUCAUAUCUACAACAUGUUGCCGAACUCCAAUAAUAAAUAACCCUGUACUGCUAAAAGAGCACCGACCAACACCCACGCCAGCACAAAGUAACGACAGCAACCUUUGCUUGGCAACGUCCCAUAACUUCAUAGUGUUUGUACCGUCACCAGUUACCAGCCUCUUGCCAUUCGGGGAAAAUGCACACGACGCAAACGUCUCUUUAUUUCCGUGGAAAAAAGGUACUAACUUUCUUUCAGCAAUGUUAAGGACUAAUUCCAGUUCCCCAAAUAAAAGGAAUGAAUCGUCUGGAGCAAAUGUGCAGCAUGGAAUACUUCCAGCAAUACUUCUGUAUUGUGUUGAAUAUUGCCAAAGCUCAACUAAACUUGGUACGGAUAUUACACGGAUUGUCUCAUCGUCGUCUGCAACGGCUGCCAUUGUUUUAUCAUUGGACAAGCCAACAGCGUUAGUCUCUGACAUUUCAGGAAUACGCCACGCUGCAAGCGGCAAAACCUCCACCUCAUUAAAGUUAUACUUGACAAACCGUGAAACCUUUGAUAAAAGCGACUCUACAAUUUUCUUCUCGUUAUCACUGAAAUAUCCUUCUGGAGAAUGCGUGAGAACACUUUGUAAAUAAUAUGAUCCCAUCUUUAGCAUUGAUUCUUUUUCCAGAAAGUCAAUUUCAAAGACAUGCCAUAGAAUGCGUUUUCGUAGUUUGUCACUUGUGACCACAGAACUUUGAAGAAUUCCUAACCAGAGAUUUAACAGGUAAAGUCUAUCAUCGUGGCUUAUUUGGGGGUAGAUAGUUAACGAAACGUGUAUGAUUACUAUAUCUACCAACCAAAACAAACGUUCCUUCAUCAUGCAUGCUCCUAGAUAAUCAAAGCCAUUCUUCAGAGCGUACUUCACAUCGUUAGUUAAGUUUAAAUCAUGUCCGGAGCAAACGGUUUUCUUAAUUUCUUCGAAAACCUUUUCACAAAUUAGCCAGAGUGAUUUACUUCCAUCCAUGACAUUGACAGUAUAUUCAUGAUCUUUGUAGCCUUCUGCAAGAAGCCAGUCAGUCACGGAUUUGUGAAAAACGGUCACCAGAUCAUCAGAAACGUAGAGCAAGCACGAUACCGUUUGAUUGACUUUGUCAAUAAUCUUUCUGGUUUCGCGACAAUCUGGAGACAAACCAAGAGCACGAGAGAUGAAGCUGAGGGGAAGAGGGCCUUUAGAAACUGCCAGCAUUUCCAAAAUUUUCAACACAUCAAGAUUUCCAUGCAUUAUGGCUCUUAGCUCGUCUUUAAGGCGAUUAAAAUAUGCUAAGUAAAUAGAAUCCAGGCCUUUUGGGACAAACUUCAUUAUUUCAUCCAACGUCAUCGUAUCAAAAUCGUCGCGUUUCCGUAGCUCAGAUUGAACGUAAAACGCGUACAGAAAUGAACCCUCGCACUUCUUAGCAAGCACUUUAUACACACUUGGAUUCGAAAACAGAUCUUUACAUAGGAAUUUCUUUGCUUUUGUGUCCCCUAGACUUGGAAGGCAGGCUUUGAGGUAUAAUUCAAGAUCAGAGUUAUUGUUGGCGUCAUCGCUGUCAAUAUUAAUCCUUUGAACAUCACUUAGUUUUGUUACGGAAAUCUCCGGCCUGCUGGUCACCAGGAACUUUAUACACUCGGGAAGAUCUGGAAAAUAAUCAGUAAUCAAAUUCAUAAUUUCAUCCUUAUUAUCUGCUGCACUUUCAUCCAAGCCAUCGAUCACGACCAAACUUGGUUCUUCUAAAUCCAAUUCAUCAAGGGGAUUUUGCAAGUAUAUUGUAAAAGCAUCCUUUAAGCUUUGGACUUGAUAAGGUCGCCUCAACUGAUCAAGAAGCUUCUCUUUAAAACCCGCGAUAUUUUCACACAUCUGACUAGCGAGAGACUGCAGCAUCAGCAUAGGAUUUCUUAGGUUUGAAUUACUGAAGUCACAAAAGUGAGAAGCUGCCAACUUUCUCUUCAUCUUAAACUCCUCACAAACUUUUGCUGCAAACACACUUUUACCAAACCCAGGUCCAGCUGUCAAUAACAACAUCCUUGAUUUUUGCUCUUUCUCAACAAAUUCGUCCACCUGUCGUAAUAACCACUCUCUCGUGCCAUGAUGGAAAAACUCCACUUUACGUUUAAUUUUGCUCUUGAAAUUAUGCUUUGCCAGUUUUCGCAAGAGAUUUUCAGCACUCUCGUUGCUGCAAUUUUUCUGAUGAUCGGUAUCCUUAGAAACUUGUGACGGAUGAUUGACGGAACUUUGGAGGGCUUGGAUAUCGCUUUGUUGUUCUAGAAUCGACUGAUGGAGUUCUUUUAUCCCAUCGCGGUUUUCUUCAGCAAUUGAUGCCAGCACUUUUAUACUCUCUUCUUCUUGUGAUUUCCAUUCUUUAAGUGUCUCCACAUAUAUUUCUUCUUCAGGUCCUAAAAGACAAGUUUUUAAACCAUCGACAUCAUUGUGGGGAAUGUUUAAUUCUACCAAAGCCUGGGAAAUUUUCUGCCAUAACGAUUCAUAUGUUGCAUUAUCCACUUGAGUUGAUGUCACGUGUGCAUAAAUUUCAUUUCUAAACAACUUCAGUCGUACGAUAUUUGCUUGCAUUGACCUGUCCGUGUCUGGAGGCAUUGCAUCCCAUCCUGUUUUCGGUAAGCCACAAAUGUUCCGGAACAGAACUGUAAGUAAUGUAACAUCGAAGGUUUUGGAAUUUGGCGGGUUACCGGAUGGAGGGAAUAGUAAAUCCCACUGAGGAUUAUUAAUAACUCUAGGCUUUAACUUUAGAAGGGAUGCUCUGUUUGCAGCUAGAACUGCCUUUAGAUUGGCAGGAGGAUGAGUAGAAUCAAAUGUAUUUCUCAAAGCUUCAGUUCCUUUGUCAACCAAAAGUCUACUAAGUCUUGUAAAAUUUGCCUUUUCUUGCAGAUUGACAGAAGCCAUAACACUGCAUGAGUUUACUGCAACAUAAAGUAUAUCUUGGAUAAGUUUCACCUGAGUGAAGUAAUCUUGGUAAGUUUUACCUUAGCAAAUGUGGUGGGGCAGAGGGGGUGGGGCAGAGGUUCCUAUAAUUUAUGGCAUUCUAUUAAUACCAAUAUACGAUCUUCCCUAGAAUGACAUAUUUUAAUUUACAUGCUGUCGAGCAUAUGCUUUUCAAAGAUCAGAUUACAGGUUAGCACAAUCAUGUAAAAAUUUGUGACAUCUUGAGUUUUGUCGCAUUUCCCAGCUGCCACAAUGAACAUUAUCUUGCGUCCAACAAAAGCCAUUGCAGAUCCUCAAUAAACCUUCGGAUUCAAUUCCUCUCAGUGUUAAUUCUGGACUUUGCUUGUACUCAUCUUCAACGUACUAGAGUCUUAGCUGUUAUCAUCAUUUGUUGCAGUUGUUUUGGGGCAAUAAGUAGAGGGUUUUUUUCAGAAUGGAUCCAAGCAAUUUGUGGUCUAAUUCGACCAGUAUUUUUCUACCAUACACGUAGGUCUCAACAGCAUCUACUUCACGGAUGCCUUUAUUCAGUGUUAGAAAUCUUGACGGAUAAUCCACUGGUGGCUGUGGUUGAUUUUUCUGUGUGAGCCAGGCUGAAGAUGUAAGACCAUUUAUGCCAACGUCACGGUGGAAUACAGGGUGUCGAAUGCAAUGUUGUGAUUACUUGGAUCCUUCAAUCCAGGUGCUAUAUUUCAUAGAGUUAUUCCAUGCGCGUGAUCAGAAAUACACAGGAUGUGUUGUUCAAUAUAAAUUCUACCGAGAUAGAGUCUCCAGAUACCCGUGUUCGACGACAGCCUAUCAGGGCCUUUUUUAACAUACAAGCUGGGGGGGGGGCAUUUGCCCCCAGUCCCCCACGAAAUUACAUCCCCCCCUUUUUCCUAAAUUUAUACAAACAAACCACUGAAACCAUUGAAGAAUAACAAAUAGAUAAACGGAAAGUAAGUUUUAUAAGCAUUUAUCCUUUGUCCUUGUUUAACAAAAUCGAUUUAAAUUGUUACGUUUUUCUACCACUAAGUCUAAGUACUGUUUAAAUUAAUAAACGAGCAAGAGUGUUUUAUUAGGUUUAAAGCCACGAGCGCGCAGCGCGAGUGGCUUUAGACCUAAUAAAACACGACCUGCAAGUUUAUUAAACGGCUUCAAAAACGACUACAAAUUCAAUAGAAAUACUGCUUAUUAGUAUUCUUUAUAUAAAAAGUACUAAUGACGACACGACUACAAUAGGUACUGCCUUAUUAGUAUUCUUUAUAUAAAGAAUACUAAUUAGGAGUUUUUAUCAGGUUUAAAGCCACUGCACGUGACAUAUUAUGGUUGACAUGAUUUGUCAAUUAGCUUAUGAAUUAUUAAUGAGUGUUUGAAGUAAUGAUAAAUUAUUGGAAAUAUUUUUUUUAUUUUUUGUGCGUUUUUUCCUUCUUUUAUUUCAAAUACAAGUAUUAGCAACUUAGCAUAAAUUUUAGAGCAAAUUCGGUUUGCUCAGAAUGCAGAAAACGGCAUUUCCGGGCUUCAAAUUUCAAAAAUUUUCCGCGCGAGUAUGCCCCCACACGUGGCCUUCAGCUGUUGCUAUCCCCCUCUAAUAAGUAAUGAUAAAUUAUAAUUUUUUUUUUAACUUUUUGUGCGUUUAUUUCCUUCUUUUAUUUCAAAUACAAGUAUAGUUAGCAUAAUUUUAGAGCAAAUUUGGACGCUUAGAAUGCUUCAAAUUUCAAAACAUUUCUGGGACUCCCCUAUUCAUGCCUGGUAUGUCGGCCACACACGUGACUUUCGGCCAUUGCUAUCCACCUCUAAUAUAUUAUCUCACAGAAAGGUCCCUUUUCAAAAAAUACCCCCUCCCCCCACGAGAAAUUCCUUAAAAAAGGCCCUGCGGGAGAAAAACCGGAGCCCGGGUAAAAACCCCCGAAGGCCGAAGCACAGCGAAGAAAUUCACGAACCAAAUUAUACUCUAAGGACGCAAGUAUAGAUACCCAACCCUCGACCUACAUGCUACAGUAUUACAGUAAUGUUACACGUUUAAACUGAACGAUAGAGUACUAGUUGAGGAGCGUUAUUUCAAGGCAAAUAGGCAAUGGCUUAGCGUGAGGCGGUUUCUACAAAAAACCGAAAACCGAAAACCGACUGGAAAAACCCAAAAAAACCGAGUUAACCGGGUUUUUUUAAAAAAUACGUUCGAAAAUCAAAACUACUGUAAAAAAAGACACAACACGCUACUGAGUACUCACGCAAGAUUAAUACGUAAGGUAUUUUGAAGACGUUAUCAAAUUUCAAACAAACUCUCUUUAGUUUUUCGUGUGUAAAUGCCAAAACGUGAUUCAAUUGCAUCAAACUCGUAUAAGUAUGGUUCGAUUUCAGUAAAAUACCGAUUUUUCUUCGUUUUUUCCCGUUUCCCCCGGUUUUUUCGGUUUUCUGUUUUUUCUCCAAAAGUAACAUCGAAUAUUUCGGUUUUCAAAAAACAUCGGGUUUUUUUUCGGUUUACCGAAAAACCGCCUCACCCUACAAUGGCUGUUUGUGCCUCACACACCGCACACCAAACACGUAAGAACGUCUGAGAGAAUCGUAUUACUUAAUAUAUAUAACUUGAAACAACAAGAAGUCCAGUUUUAGGCCAGGAAUGCACAAGAGUUUUUCCUGAGCAAAAUUGUCUGGUAUUAGACAGGAUAAAAGAAUGGAACACAAUAAAAAACAUCCUUCUAGCAAAUAGCAUUGGUGAAUAAAAGCUAGUUGCUCUCACAUGCUAAGCUAUUCCGCUUUGUAGAAGACAAAAAUUAUAAAGAAAUUUAUAUUCUCAAUCCCUAAUUUGUCAGGACAUACGAACAUUUUUAUAUCAGUAUCACUAAGUUGCCGGCAAGAUAAUUGUGUGACUUGGAAAACCUGAAACUUCAAGGAAAAUGACAAGGAAACUGCUAAAAUUCUCUGUUGUAUUAAUGUCUUCAGUAAUGUGUUUUUCAAGUGCGCUGAGGGGAGACUGAAUCAGUAUUUGAAUAAUUUUUUGGUCGAAUGCGUUGGGGGAGGGAAAGUGGUAUCACUUUGGUUGUAGAUUGAAUACACUAAAAUAAAACUAUAUAUGAAACAAGAUGCAGCACAAGGCUAAAGGUUCUUGUUACUUAUUUCUGCGCAUAAACCUGUUCUUCACAUAAACCACAGGGAAAAGGUGUCUUUUUUUAAGGGAAAAAGUGCAUUACAACAGUCUAACGACGUAGUGUCUGGCCGCCUACUAACUUCCGCAAUCGUAUAUUAAAACACUGAAUAAAACAAAUUCACUUAAACGUAUUGCUUAAUAUUUAACUUCAUACAUAAUACGAUUCUCCAAGACCAAUAAAAACACAAAAGUAGAAAUUACAAUUUAAUUAACGAGGCUUUAUAAACCUUUUUAACAUGACGCCACAGCGCUGUGCCGCGUGCUGUGGUCGAUACAAAAUCAUGAAUAAAAUCAAUAACAUGACCAACACUGACACAAACGCACCUUAUUCAAAUCUUGAUAGAAAUAUUCUUACUACAUGACCAAGUCAUCAAAGAUUAACUACACAAACACAUGAAAUCAAUGCCUAAAACGGGGACCAACCAAGACGAAAUUCAACCAUCAACUUAUUCUGCUGUCCCCUGCUGGGCUACUUAUAAUAAUUACUUUAAAUAAUUCGGGUAAAUUUCCAUAUUAACAAUCUGUAUUUAAAUAAGUCCCAAUCCUAACCCAAAUCCUGUUCCUUAUAAUGUUUACAAUAACGCCAUGGUUGAAUGAUUGAUUCGUGUCUUCGUGUGCAUAAAUUAAUAUAUUUUUUCAACACUCUAACCAUCUUUCAUGCUUUCUACUGAGUUGAAAUUACAACAGAAAAAUAAACGCGCAAACAAACGAGGCAAUUUUUGCUGCAUCUUGGAACGUGAUUUCUGACAUAGAGCGAUGUUAUGUGUAAGGUAGUUGCAAGGAAAUUGUGAGCAUGGCCUACAGUUUACUCUGCCGACAUUUUUCAUCCCAUUUCUUUCAUUUUUUCAUUGAAAUGAAUAUAACUGGAACGCUAUCUUUAGUUUAUAUCAUGAUUGACUGAUUGAGCGCUCUUCGCAUGCGUGGAAAGACUGGGACUGGCCUUCAAGUUUACUCUGCCGACAUUUUUCAUCCCAUUUUUUCAUUUUUCCAUUGAAAUGAAUAUAACUGGAACGCUAUCUUUAGUUUAUAUCAUGAUUGACUGAUUGAGCGCUCUUUGCUCGAAGAUAUUAGCUCAUUGUUUGAGCUACUCUGUAAAUUCGAGUUAAAAUAAAGUGUAUGUAUGUAUGCAUGUAUAUGUAUAUGCAUGCGUGAAAAGACUGGAACUGACCUUCAAGUUUGCCUUCAAAUUUCCGGUUGGAGGUAGCGUUCUCGAUGAAUUUUUCAUUUCCUUAAAAGUAUGUUAUGUAAAGAAAGUAUCGACAGAGUAGAAUGCGGGUCAUGCUCACAAUUUCUUUGUGAUUACUUUUUAAAUAACGUGAUAUUCAAAAUGGCGUUGCACGUUGCAGCAAAAGUAGCUCGUAUAACAUUAAAAAAAAAACUCGGAAAAAGCACAACAGAUAUUUUUUAUCAAACCGUACUUCUCCAACCGAUAUAGAAUCCCAAAAAAGUAUAUUACCAAUAAAAAUUUACAUUACAAAAUGGUUCAUAAAAGUUCUAUAACAAAGCUACCAAACUACAAAAUUCAAUUACCAAGCUAUCACUAAUGUACGAGUCAAAUCCAACCGCGAUCAGCCCCCCCCCCCCGGGCAACCCCAGGGCAUUUGACUUAACAUUACCCCCGUAAAAGGGGGGGGAUUUAACAGCCCGGUCGGGAAUUUGACGGCCUGGCCGGGCAUUUGACCACUUGACAACAACUUGCUCAGCAGUUUACCCUAAAAAUAUGUGUACAUUCUAGCGCUUUACGAGUUUUCUAUUUUGCGUCUUUUCGAUAGUUUGAAAAUUGCUUCUGAAUCACAAAUAUCAAUCAUAGAUAUAUGAUACAAUAUGCCCAGUUGAACAAAAAGAAGAACUGUCGGCCUAUUUUUCGUUCUUUUUAAUCUUGAAAUACUUGUUCAAUUUAAUUUUAGUCAAAAUUCCAGAAACAGCACUACCCCUAUAGCAGGGCAUUUGACUGUGGUUUCUGCCUGUUCGGGCGGGCAUUUGACCAAUUAUUUUUUCAAAAGUCAAAUUUCCCGGGGGUUGCCCGUGGGGGGGGGGGGCUGAUCGCGGUUGGAUUUGACUCGUACAUAAAUUUGAUGACUUGUCUACACAAUAUAAUAUCAGUAUAUCUUACAAAAGUCCUCCCCGCAUGUCGAAAGCUAUUUUCAUCUGUAUAUAAAAAAUGUAUGUAAACCUCAAUCAAAGGAAAUCAUAGACCAAUUUCAUAUCUCCGUCUGCACAGGUCGGAACCACUCAAAAUACAGUUAGUUCUCCGUAGUUUCUUCACAGAUCAAUAUAUACGUUUCUUUUUAUGGAAAACACCAAGUUUAUUUAGCAAAGUUUUCAAUCUGUAUACUUCAUCAAAUAUAGUCUGUGU